GAAGCAUGGUUCAGCCCUGGACGAAGCCAUCGUCCAGCUACUGGAUUUCUGGAGGAACGCUUGCGAAAUGUCAGGAAGAGAACCCGUCGUGAAAACUGCACAAGUCGUGAGAAAGAGGAUUCUCAAGCCAUAAGCAGCACCUUGGUUAUACCAGAGCCAAGUAUUUCACCUGACAGAGCAGUACAACUUGCAGAAUGGCUUAAAAAUAAUAUGUGGCCAGCUAACCAAGUUGCAGAUUACAUGAAAGAAACAGCCAUCCACAGGGCUCAGUGGAUAAGAGCUAACGGGACAAAAUCUAUCGAGGAAAUAACUUGUGAAUUCCCUCGACUCCUUGAUACGCCAGGCAUGAUUUCACAAGACUUCUCUGUAUUAUUCCCCGACCACGCAGAGAGACUUUUCCAAACUUGGAAAAUGAGUUUCAAAGACAAAAUCCUUUGCUUUGCCAGCCAGGAGAAAAAGCGCAGGAGCUUCUCCAGAAUUUAGACAGUUUGUCUCCAGGUACAGUUGUGAAUGCAAGAACUAAUAGUUAUUCAUUAGAAUAAUGAUGACAAAAUAAUUAAUACAAAAUAUUAAUCUGCACAGAAGUCCAAAGUGACGUUGCACUCAGGCUGCUUCCUGUAAUACUGCCCACCCCUGUCUACAAAAAAGGGAUGAAAAUGUUCAAACCAAGCUUGGAAGAAAAUAUCAAGUCUUUCAUUGAAUUCAAGCAUGUUGGGACCAACAUGGUUGAAUAUUUGAAGGAGGCAGAGCUCACUAAACCCUUCCCCUUUGUCCUUGGUCUUGGGGAUGACAGUCAAUGCCAUCAAGCCUUUGUAGUUGUUGGCAAACAGGCACUGCAUCAAAACACACUCCUUGGUGCUGUGGACACGUGUUUUAAACUUUUUUAUGUUUUAGACAUCCAUUUCCCGAAGCAGUGUGCACCAGUGUGGGAGUUUUUGCAGACUGUUGUCUACAAACUCCCAGGAACUGAAUCUCCUUCUGUAAGACUGCUCCGUGGAUAUUUGUCAUGUUGA
Molecule: long non-coding RNA, 1013 nt
Filed under: Carassius auratus (goldfish)
Lineage: Eukaryota; Metazoa; Chordata; Actinopteri; Cypriniformes; Cyprinidae
Description: lncRNA (ENSCARG00000047763.1)
Source: RNAcentral